Molecule: long non-coding RNA, 940 nt
Filed under: Nicotiana benthamiana
Lineage: Eukaryota; Viridiplantae; Streptophyta; Magnoliopsida; Solanales; Solanaceae
Description: long non-coding RNA (NBEN_LNC008053)
Source: RNAcentral
CUCAAGAAACAAUUUCAGUAUUCUCAAAUCAUACAACAAUAUUCACUAUUUUUGUUCUCUUUUGCAUAUAUCGUUUCUCUCUAUACCAUGGGAAAUGAUAAUGAUAAUGAAAUUUGUGACAAUAGAGGUACACUCAGACUUGUCACAUGUGAUUUACAAUCAUCACGUUUAAAAACAUAGAAUAUUCACAUGACUAAAAAAACAAAGAAACAAACAACACAUUAAGAUAUGGGUGUAAACUUCAGUAUAGAAUAUUCACAUGACUAAAAAACAAAGAAACAAACAACACAUUAAGAAAUAUGUGUAAAGAUAGACCUUGUAGUGGUUGGACUUAAACUUCAAGAUUGCUGCUACUCAACAAUUAAACCAAGAGCAGCGACAGAAAUCCUAAACAUAACUCCAAUCAACAAGGAUUUCAGACCGAACAAACUGGACGUGGAUCGGAACCCCAUCGGCGACCUCAAAUGGACCUCAAAUCAGAAGCUUCGAACGGAUACCCCAUGAAAUCUCUUUUCGAAACCAGAAAAUUAAUUCAAGCAAAGAAAAUAAACAGAGACGAGAGGGUGGGGAUGCUACUACUCGUUGUUCUCAAAGGCGUUCAAGGUCCAAAAAUGGUGGAAUUUCGGCUGACUUUCAUGAACAAAAUGAAUUUCCCGUUUUUGUCUAACUUUGAGCUCAGAUCAUUUUUACUCAGCUGCUGCUUCUUUGGUUUUCGCUGGUUAGGGAUGGGGAGCUAUGAGGACGAUAACCUCAGCGGGGGUGGAGUCAUUUUUUUAUCUUCUGCUGCACUCCUCCUUUUUGCUCCCCUUGUUGCUUAGGUCUAAGUUCUAUUAUAUAGAUUUGAGUCUAGGGUUUUAGGAUUGGGUAAUGGGCUUGAGAAAAUUUGGAUCUUAAAAACUAGUUGGACAAUUUUAGAAAUUGGCCAAAUUUUAAAAUAAAC